UAAGGUGCAUCGAGGUGCUCUGAAAUUGAUGCUUAGUGGAGACCAGGAGCCAGCAACCAUGAUCUAUCAGUGUGGAGUCUUUGGAUGAAGGCAAUGCAACCAACCUGGUGGCUACAGCAAGUUUAGAGGUUAGCAGGAUUUUAUCCACGUAUUUUCAAGGCUAAAAGUACACGCAUCACAUGGGAUCUGAGGAUAAACAAGUGAUCAAGAAGUGAAUAUUCUGAGCUGAAAACACCCUGCAACAGGCCUCAACACAUUUCAGUUCACUGACCUAGAUAAUUAUGACUGUCUGAGAACAGGUUUCUGUUGCACCCCUUCCAUCAUCCCUUUUCCUGUCUGCAGUAUCUACACAAAGGUACUGUUGUUUUCAUUGCUUAUUUUUCUUUUUGUAGUAAUAGCACACUUUUGA
Molecule: long non-coding RNA, 409 nt
Filed under: Coturnix japonica (Japanese quail)
Lineage: Eukaryota; Metazoa; Chordata; Aves; Galliformes; Phasianidae
Description: lncRNA (ENSCJPG00005014918.1)
Source: RNAcentral